AUCUUAGACAAUGGGGGCAACCCUGAUCUAGCCAUGCCGCGUGAGUGAUGAAGGCCUUAGGGUUGUAAAGCUCUUUCAGCUGGGAAGAUAAUGACGGUACCAGCAGAAGAAGCCCCGGCUAACUCCGUGCCAGCAGCCGCGGUAAUACGGAGGGGGCUAGCGUUGUUCGGAAUUACUGGGCGUAAAGCGCACGUAGGCGGACCAGCAAGUUAGGGGUGAAAUCCCGGGGCUCAACCUCGGAACUGCCUUUAAAACUGUUGGUCUGGAGUUCGAGAGAGGUGAGUGGAAUACCGAAUGUAGAGGUGAAAUUCGUAGAUAUUCGGUGGAACACCAGUGGCGAAGGCGGCUCACUGGCUCGAUACUGACGCUGAGGUGCGAAAGCGUGGGGAGCAAACAG
Molecule: ribosomal RNA, 397 nt
Filed under: uncultured bacterium
Lineage: Bacteria
Description: bacterial SSU rRNA
Rfam family: Bacterial small subunit ribosomal RNA
Source: RNAcentral